AGUGAACGCUGGCGGUAGGCCUAACACAUGCAAGUCGAACGGCAGCACAGUAAGAGCUUGCUCUUACGGGUGGCGAGUGGCGGACGGGUGAGGAAUACAUCGGAAUCUACUUUUUCGUGGGGGAUAACGUAGGGAAACUUACGCUAAUACCGCAUACGACCUACGGGUGAAAGCAGGGGAUCUUCGGACCUUGCGCGAUUGAAUGAGCCGAUGUCGGAUUAGCUAGUUGGCGGGGUAAAGGCCCACCAAGGCGACGAUCCGUAGCUGGUCUGAGAGGAUGAUCAGCCACACUGGAACUGAGACACGGUCCAGACUCCUACGGGAGGCAGCAGUGGGGAAUAUUGGACAAAGGGCGCAAGCCUGAUCCAGCCAUACCGCGUGGGUGAAGAAGGCCUUCAGGUUGUAAAGCCCUUUUGUUGGGAAAGAAAAGCAGCAGGUUAAUACCCCGCUGUUCUGACGGUACCCAAAGAAUAAGCACCGGCUAACUUCGUG
RNAcentral lists this ribosomal RNA (492 nucleotides) under uncultured bacterium. RNAcentral's name for it is "partial 16S ribosomal RNA". It matches the Rfam family "Bacterial small subunit ribosomal RNA", at positions 29 to 507 of the family's 1533-position model. The record is from RNAcentral.